UGGCAUAUGGGAGGGCCUAAGCCCUUUGCUUCCUGUACUGACCUUGAACUUCAGCAUGAAACCUACAGUUAGAAGCACAUGCACUUUUCACGUGGAGAAAUGGACAGUCUUGUGGCUGGAUGAGGAGCGCACAGCUGUGGUUGCAAUGAACCUUCUCUAGGACAGGUGCCUGAAAGAGGAAUUGCUAGAGCAAAGACUCAUGAAAUCAGGUUGCUAGCAGCCCCCUGGCCAGGAGCUCAGCUCACCACUGAGGAGGCACUACCGAGAACGUCGCUGGAGGAGGUGAGCAGCAUUUAUUUGUUUAACGUAAAGAGUCUGCUGCAGAAGCAGUCCUGCAGCUCGUGUUGGAAGAGAGAAGAACGCUUCCCUGUGACACCAGACUCCUUCUGUGCUGCUGUUAAUUGUCAUUCUGUGUCUGCAACGGUGCAGCUCCAGCCAGCCGGCCUGUGGCCAACAAGAGGGCCAUUCAUGAAUCCGCAUGAUUUUGAGGCAGAGUGAUGUGGCCCAUGGGAAGAGCCCCGGGACUGGGGCCAGCAGACCCAAGUUCAAGUCCCACCUCUCCCGGUGGAGGGCACGGAUCACCUUUCCUCGGCUCUCUUUCCCUUUCCCAUCUUGCAGCUUUGACCUGCCUCCCCCACCCUCCUGAGGCCUCACUGCACCCUGGGCCUCUGUGGCACUGUUUGUGCCAGCCUCUGUGAUCAGCCUUCUCCUUUGCCCUUGCAGGGUCCUCAUCUGAGAGUCCUCCAUGCCCCUCUCUAUACAUUCAGUUCCUCCCAAUAGCACCCACUGUGGCAGCUGCAGUGUGUCGCCACCCAGCUGAUCCCCAGCUGAGCGCUGUCCUGGACCCCAGCUCACAUCCCCCUGCCUCUGCAGCAGUGCCACUUGGUGCUGUGUUCCCAGGAACGCUCGCAGUGUCCACACCUGAGCAUGUUUCUCCCCAAAGAGUCUCCUCUGGUGUGCCGUAUCUUUGUUAAUGGUGUUGACUAGACAGACAAGCCCAACACUUCAAGAGUCAGCUGUUGGGUCCUCCAUCUCUGUUGCUGGAAAUUUUUUCGUGACUCCCCGUUGCCCACUGAAUGAAAUCCGGGCUCUUUGGACUUUUCCCUAACUUCUUAUUUUCCUCCACUAAUUUCCCUGCGUGUAUCCUACAAUUACUCAAAUAAUUACUUACUUUCAGGUCUCUGCCCCUAGAGAACAGGGGUUUUCAACAUUUACAUUUUGAGACAGGUAGUUCUUUGUGAUGGGGGGCUCUUUUGUGUAUUGUAGGAUGUUUAGCAGCACCCCUACCCUCUACCCAGCAGCAUCACCUCCUUAGUUGUGACAAUUAAAAAUGUCUCCAGACAUAGUCUAAAGUUCCCCUGGGAGACAAAAUUGCCUCCUGUUGAGAACCACUGAUGGAGAUUCAUGUUUUACGUGCAUGGAAAACCCUCUCCCU
Long non-coding RNA from Hipposideros armiger (great roundleaf bat), 1435 nucleotides. RefSeq lists it as uncharacterized. The record is from RefSeq and is a predicted model, not a curated record. The transcript has 3 exons. Lineage: Eukaryota; Metazoa; Chordata; Mammalia; Chiroptera; Hipposideridae.